AAAUUGAAGAGUUUGAUCAUGGCUCAGAUUGAACGCUGGCGGCAGGCCUAACACAUGCAAGUCGAACGGUAACAGGAAGCAGCUUGCUGCUUCGCUGACGAGUGGCGGACGGGUGAGUAAUGUCUGGGAAACUGCCUGAUGGAGGGGGAUAACUACUGGAAACGGUGGCUAAUACCGCAUAACGUCGCAAGACCAAAGAGGGGGAUCUUCGGGCCUCUUGCCAUCAGAUGUGCCCAGAUGGGAUUAGCUAGUUGGUGAGGUAACGGCUCACCAAGGCGACGAUCCCUAGCUGGUCUGAGAGGAUGACCAGCCACACUGGAACUGAGACACGGUCCAGACUCCUACGGGAGGCAGCAGUGGGGAAUAUUGCACAAUGGGCGCAAGCCUGAUGCAGCCAUGCCGCGUGUAUGAAGAAGGCCUU
Molecule: ribosomal RNA, 421 nt
Filed under: Salmonella enterica
Lineage: Bacteria; Pseudomonadati; Pseudomonadota; Gammaproteobacteria; Enterobacterales; Enterobacteriaceae
Description: bacterial SSU rRNA
Rfam family: Bacterial small subunit ribosomal RNA
Source: RNAcentral